CACUAUUUCCGAUCUGUUUCCUCUAUAAACCUUCUGAGACCCAUAGCAAACUGCAUAAACUCAUGUCAAGAUCGAAGACAAAGAUACGAAGCCAACGGCAGAAACCCAUAACCACACUAAUCUUUGUCUCCGAUUCUAUGGUAUCUUAGAAACCCAUCUUUCAUUUCAAUCUCUCUUUCACUAUUUCUCAUUGUGAGUUCAUAGUUGGAACUUAGAUCUAUUUUUAGAUCUUGAAAAGAGUUUACGGGAAAAAGUUUAUCAGAAUAGGUCUUGAAUUAGUAGAUCUAUGGCGUUUUUAUUUAUUUUUGCUAGGAUUUUAAUUUCAAAAGAAAGAAGCAGGAUUUACAUGUGGUGAUCAUAUUUGCUAAUAGGGAGAGAGAAAUUGGUGAUUUAAUUGCAAAGUUUAUGGAGAGAGUUGGAAAAGAAGGUGUUAUCACAAUUGUUGUAAGUUUUCAUGUGCUCCGCAUAUAUUUGCUUCUUACUUUAUCUAGAACCAAUCACCAUCUUUAUCACACCAAAACCUGGAAAACCCAGAAUUCCAUAAACUACGAAAAUUCCAGCUCUUCAUAUUUUCCAGAUCUUCAUCGUAUUUCCAUAUCUUCAUCGCAACAAGCCCAUAUUAGUGUUUGUAUUAUUGUUAUUAACUUAUUUAAAUCUAUACUAUUUAUUAUACAUGCUUUUUUCCUAUAUUCCUGUUUAAUAGUUGUCUUAGCUAUUCCAAGUUAAUUUGUUGAUUUGUGAAUGUUGAUAGGUCUGUUACUAAAGGUAUGUUUCUUACAGAGUGUUUGAUGCUUAAUAAAUUAUAGGUUUAAUGUAGAAAAAAUGGAUUUGGAUUUAGAGAUUUUAAUGAUUUUUCAAUUAAUUUUUCUUACCCGUUUCAAAUGUAAUCAAUAGUCUUAAUGUUGCUAGCCUAUGAAUUUAAUUUUAAAUUUCUAACCUUUCUCUCUUUUUCUAUUUAAUUUCAUAUAUUAUUGGUCUCCAUUUAAAAAGGGCUCAAUGAAUUCAUGAAUAUGAAGUGAGAGAAAAAGAUGAUGAUUGCAAGAAAAAUAUAUGCAGAGUUAUCAAUAGUGUAUGUUUUCUACUUAGUUUGAGCAUUUGAAGAGUGUGUCGGGUCAGGCUGCAAGUUCUUAUGUACUGAGAAUUAUGUUUGGAAUUUGGAGUUUUGUAGUAGCUGCUACAGCAAAGUUUCUCCAGGUUGGAUGAUAGCACAGUUCAGCCAGUCUUUUUGAUGUUCUGAUCUUCAUUUUUUUUCGAGUCAGUAAAUGUUUGGUUCAACUCUGGUUCAUCGUGCUCGUCCUGGUUUCUCACAUGUUUCUGUUUUUCAGUUCAUUCUUCCAAUGAAAUAGGUUGAGGUGGCUUCUCUUCAGGUUUGAAUUACCUUUUAUUAAUUGAUAACAAAGCAAAACAUUCUGCAACACCAUCAUUUAUACUCAAGUUACUCAUAAAACUACAAAAUUUAUUUUCUUUUUGUAUUCUCUAUUUGUUUUUAAAAUUAGUUUGGUUUUUUUAUUGGAGUUUGUUUUUUAGAUGAUUAAAGACAAAGAAAGGACAUGAUUCAUUGAAAGAUGAAGGAAUGCAGGAUUUGUUGACAAAAGGGUGAAGAUGAUACAACUGAAAGCAUGCGACCAUUUUAUGUUGAAACGUGAUCGCCCACCACCUGUUAUAAUUCUCUGUCUUGUGUGAGAUGCAGCUGCUAGAUUUCCUGGAAGUACUGGUACUAGAGCAAAUGUUUGUACAUUAAUUUGAUAUUCUCAAUAUGUUGUUGAUGAUGUCACUGAUGCACAAAUUAACCAAGUAGUUGGUGGAGCUUUGGAUAGAUUGCAUUAUGAACGUGAUCUUUGUAUGCAAUUUGAUGGUGAGAGGAAAAUGUGGGCUUAUUUGCAUAGAGAUAUAGAAGAAGAAGAUUUUGAGGAUGAUGUCACGUCAUCCACAAAGAAAUGGAAGAGGCAUAAAAAAGAUGUUGCUGAUAAAUCUGAUCAGCCCCCAAUAACUGUUGCCUGUAAUGGGGCUGUUGAGCAAAGUGGAUAUGAUUUGUGCUCUGAUCUCAAUGUGGAUCCAUCAUGCAUUGAAGAUGAUAAGGGAGUAGUCUAACUUAUUUCUAUUGAUACAAGGCUGAUUGUAGAAUAAUAACAUAUAUAUUAUGGUACUGGAUAGGUAUUGAGAACAGUUAUUCACUACACUAAUAAUCAUCGUUCUUAAUUGAUUAAUAA
Molecule: long non-coding RNA, 2210 nt
Organism: Vicia villosa (hairy vetch)
Lineage: Eukaryota; Viridiplantae; Streptophyta; Magnoliopsida; Fabales; Fabaceae
Exons: 3
Source: RefSeq, a predicted model, not a curated record